RNAcentral lists this ribosomal RNA (477 nucleotides) under Candidatus Scalindua brodae. RNAcentral's name for it is "bacterial SSU rRNA". It matches the Rfam family "Bacterial small subunit ribosomal RNA", at positions 365 to 832 of the family's 1533-position model. Lineage: Bacteria; Pseudomonadati; Planctomycetota; Candidatus Brocadiia; Candidatus Brocadiales; Candidatus Scalinduaceae. The record is from RNAcentral.
UUCGCAAUGCCCGAAAGGGUGACGAAGCGACGCCGCGUGGGUGAGGAAGGCCUUCGGGUUGUAAAGCCCUGUCAGGAGUUAAGAAAUGUAAGUGCGCUAAUAUCGCAUUUAUUUGACGAAGGCUCCAAAGGAAGUCACGGCUAACUCUGUGCCAGCAGCCGCGGUAAUACAGAGGUGGCAAGCGUUGUUCGGAAUUAUUGGGCGUAAAGAGCACGUAGGUGGGUUUGUAAGUCAGAUGUGAAAGCCUUCUGUUCAACGGAAGAAUUGCAUCUGAAACUGCAAGUCUUGAGUAUAGGAGGGGAGAAUGGAACUUCUGGUGGAGCGGUGAAAUGCGUAGAUAUCAGAAGGAACGCCGGCGGCGAAAGCGAUUCUCUGGCCUAUUACUGACACUCAGUGUGCGAAAGCUAGGGGAGCAAACGGGAUUAGAUACCCCGGUAGUCCUAGCCGUAAACGAUGGGCACUAAGUAGAGGGGUUUU